GGGACUGAUCCCGUACCGUGCUACUGCCUUGACCUAGGAUUCUUUUCCUCACAUCGGAUUCUGAACUGAAAAACGGAAGCUUUCAAGGAAGGAGAUUCUAAGACAUCACAUUCUGUGGCAAAGAGCCCAUUCGAUGGCAUCCGCGCCCGCUUGAAUUUCACUUUCACUCUUGGAUAGCUAUAGCUACGGGGCUUUUCUGGCUUGAACGGGAAGAAAUCCAUGAGAGGAAAACUA
RNAcentral lists this long non-coding RNA (234 nucleotides) under Nicotiana benthamiana. RNAcentral describes it as "long non-coding RNA (NBEN_LNC030047)". Lineage: Eukaryota; Viridiplantae; Streptophyta; Magnoliopsida; Solanales; Solanaceae. The record is from RNAcentral.